AAGCCCUAUCUCCCAUUGUCCUGAGUCUGGUUCUGGGUAAGUGGAGGAGGUUUGAGUGAGUGGAGCGGAGGGAGCGUGUUGUGUUUUGUGGGUUGAUAAGUUCUUUGAGGUAGGGAGGGGCAUGUCCUUGGAUGCAUUGAUGUGUGAGGAGGGAAACCUUGUACUCAAUCCUGGUGGAGACGGGAAGCCAGUGGAGUGAGUGGAGAAUGGGGGUAAUGUGCUCAUGUUUCCGCACUCUCAUCAGGAUCCUAGCUGCAGAGUUUUGGAUGUACUGAAGCCUCUGCAGACUCUUUCUAGGAAUCCCAAUGAGUAGUGCGUUACAGUAGUCCAAACCUUCUAUUCAGAGU
This is a long non-coding RNA of Sander lucioperca (pikeperch), 347 nucleotides long. RefSeq lists it as uncharacterized. The transcript has 4 exons. The record is from RefSeq and is a predicted model, not a curated record. NCBI's taxonomy places the organism in Eukaryota, Metazoa, Chordata, Actinopteri, Perciformes, Percidae.